UUGAACGCUGGCGGCAUGCCUUACACAUGCAAGUCGAACGGUAACAGGUCUUCGGAUGCUGACGAGUGGCGAACGGGUGAGUAAUACAUCGGAACGUGCCCGAUCGUGGGGGAUAACGGAGCGAAAGCUUUGCUAAUACCGCAUACGAUCUACGGAUGAAAGCAGGGGACCGCAAGGCCUUGCGCGGACGGAGCGGCCGAUGGCAGAUUAGGUAGUUGGUGGGAUAAAAGCUUACCAAGCCGACGAUCUGUAGCUGGUCUGAGAGGAUGAUCAGCCACACUGGGACUGAGACACGGCCCAGACUCCUACGGGAGGCAGCAGUGGGGAAUUUUGGACAAUGGGCGCAAGCCUGAUCCAGCCAUUCCGCGUGAGUGAAGAAGGCCUUCGGGUUGUAAAGCUCUUUCGGCAGGAACGAAACGGUGGGAUCUAAUACAUACCACUAAUGACGGUACCUGAAGAAGAAGCACCGGCUAACUACGU
RNAcentral lists this ribosomal RNA (480 nucleotides) under uncultured bacterium. RNAcentral's name for it is "bacterial SSU rRNA". It matches the Rfam family "Bacterial small subunit ribosomal RNA", at positions 30 to 506 of the family's 1533-position model. The record is from RNAcentral.